GAGCAGUGACUGGUCAGACCAGAGAAGACAGCGCGCUAGCGGAUCUAGUCUUCUAUCUAUAUCUUUGGUCGGCAGGUCUGGUAGCAUCUCUGGCUGCUGUUGACCUUGUUUUUGGAGUAAAACACGGUGGAAGCUGAAUUAGUGAGGAUGACUCCUGCUCCUGUCAUCUCUAAACUCCUCACACAUCUUUACCUGCACAUGAGGAAAAUCACUCCUGUAGAAUGCAGUGGUUCAUCAGAACCUCUGGGGAUGUCCUGUGGAUUCUGUGGAUCCUGUGGGUUGCAGGGUGGAUCCUACCUAGACCAGGCUGAUCCUGGACCAUCCCACAGAUGCUCAAUCAGAUCUGGAUGUGGGGAGUGUGGAACCCAGAUGUUCAGAGGGAGAUGAUGCCACAUCUGGUCCAGCUGAUGGAAGGUCUUGAAGUUCUCUGACUGGCCUCGACUGAAGAUGGUCGUCUCACUGGAUUUAAGGUUCAGAUGCUCAGUAACAAACUCCACCAGUGAACCAACAGGGAAGCUUUAGGUUUAUUAAAUGUUGCUAUGAAGGUUCCGCUGUUUUUCUUUGUGAAUGCAAUGUGCUCCAACUGAAACUUGAAUUAGAACUUAGAAGUAAAUCCUUCCAUCUGAAAGGAUUUAGUUGCAUUAAUAACCUCAUAACAUUCUAAUUUUUAUUCCAGUCUUGGUUGGAAAUAGAAUCUCUGUAUUGAUUCAGGUAAAAACUGAACUUCACAGCAUGUUGGAGCAAAACAACCAGAUGAAAACUGUGAUGGUGUUGGAUUGUCAGACCGUAAUGUUGCAGCUCAAAGCAGCUUUUCUAUCUCAGUUCAUUCUGACAUUCAGCUAUGAAUCAACACAGCAGAUGGUGAUCCAUGCUGUGGAAGUCUCACAUCUCCUGAUUUAAAACCUCCUGAGAACCAAGGGAAAAAAGUGUCUUACAAUUUCUCUUUUUGUGUGAUGUCCUAUCCAUUUGGGCCUAAAAAAAACACUUUACAAUUUUCAUUUUUUUAAAAAUAUUUUUUAUUUUAAUUUCACAGCAUGUCCAUUGUGGAGGACAGCAGGACGAUAUCUGCCUGAAAAAAUGUACUGUGAAAAGUACUGGAUUGGACUCCAGUAUUCACGAAUUUUAGGGUCAUCUUGAUAGCCAGGAAGCACAGGUAGCACAGGUGUGAAUCUAUUAUGAUGGAUGAUCAAGAAAAAACACAAAAAAAUUCAAGUUAAUAAAAAGAGUAACAGUGAAAUUUUUUCACAUAAAUUUCAAUUAAUGCAGUAAUUUCAGUGUCAUGGAUGUGAUAUGACUCCCUAUUGACUAGCUUUAGAAGCAAAUUUUUACGUAACUUGCAUAUUUUUAACAGCAUUUACAUAGUACAAAUACUACAAUAAUAUAACAUGAUCAUAAAAUGUAAUAAAUUAGCCUGAAACUAAAUAAAACAUACAAGCUAGUCCUGGCCCAUAGAUCACGACGACUUUGUUGCUCCCUCUCUGGCUCUGACUCUGUCUCAUCAGAUUCUCCUGCAUCUUCUUCUUCUCCUUCAUCAUCAUCUGUCACAGGCUGAUACUCAUCUUCUGCAUCCUUUUCCUCAUCUGAAAGCUCCAAAUCUGAAUAUCCCUCUACUAUCUGGUAUAGAAUCCUCUCUGCUUCACUUCUUUCUCCUACAACAAUAUGCAGUCAUUGGUUACAAUGGUCCUGGUGUCCACCACAGUUGACAUUCAUUAAAGGCCUGUUAUUUCAAAACAUAAAUAACGAAACUGUUUUCAGAUAUAAAAAUAUUGUUCUUAACAUGUUUAUGAACAAGAAUAUAUAUAGUUAUCAUGGUAAAAAUAGCAAUAGAUAAUGAAUAUUUGACUUACCUCUCCUCUUUCCAUAAAAUGUGGUUGCUCAUAUAGCAGCCAUCUUGAUACAGGAAAAAAAGUAAAGUUCCCAGCAUGCAAACCAUCACAUGAAACAUCACUGGAAAGCCCAGGAUGUCCCCUACAGAAUACAAUAGGGCUUGGAAGGGUAACUCCAAAUACUUAAGAAAUAUACAGGUGAACAAAAUGUCCAUUAUAAAGGACAUAAGUGAAUAGGCCAGGUCUCAGGAGGUUAAUGGAGCUGCUUUGCACUUUUUACACUGUUUAUUCACCAACACUUUAUUUAAUAAAAGUCCCAUCUAGUUUUUAUGAGGAAUGUGAUGUUUUAAUUUCUCUGUGAAUAACUGCAGUCUAAUGCAACAGCUGGAGUUGUAACAUCUGUCCUGAUAUUGAUCAUGAAGUAUUGAUCAGAAUACUUAUGGUUAGCAGUCAUCCUUGAAGUUUUACAUUAAAAUCUUUACUUGUGUUGUGAACUUUGGUAAGAAGCAGAAAUGUUAGCGUUGCCAUGGAUACAAGAGUGUUAAAUUCUGUCCAUGUUUCCAUUUUGGGAAAUGCAGUCCAGUUCCAGAAUGUGAGGAAUUUAGUCUCACAAUCACAGACAACAAAUAUUAUCUGAAAGUCGGGUUAUUGUUGUUUAUCAGCACAAUACAAAAAGAUUAAUGUUAGAAAUAUUCCAGUUAAGACUCUAGAAUAUCAUGAUUUAUGUAAAUUUACCUCAAUAAUAUGAAUGUUCAGGUUAAGAUUGUACAGUGAUAUUUAUUAUGUAAGUUUAGCUGAUUAAAGUUUAUGACUCUGCACUACAAUAUUAUUUAAAUUGACAUCAUUAUUAUUAUAUUUAAGGUCAGACCCUACAGUAUUGAGAUUAAAAAAUCUAAUAUUCUAUAAAAUGUAAAUACACUGAACUCAUCUGGAUAUAUUUAAGUGAGACUACAAUAUUAUUUGACACAAAUCUAUCUAAAUCAAAAUUUUAAUAAUUUUCACGCCAAACUUUUACUGGACUGAUUUAAACAUUAAAAUCACUCCUUUCUAAUCCUCUGCUAUACGGUCAAACCUGAGGCCUUAAAUAGAAACACACAAGGAUCUGAUUGAAGGAACUUCUGCAGAGUCCUGGUUCCAGAACAUGAUGAUAGAAUUAUAGACAAACUUUAACAAAAGCUGCCUGAGAGUUUACAGGUUUUUAUGUUAGAUUUCUUCAGUAAUUUAAUGAGAGUUAUCAGCAAAAAUCAAGUGUUCAUUUGAUGAACUUCAUUUCCUAAAACAUCCAGAAUUGGAGCUCAUAUCUUUGGCAGCUGUAAAGUUUCUGCUCCUUCAAAGUUCACAACACAAUGAAUGAAUUCCUAAAACACUCUCAAUGCUGGAGAGCGUUUGUGAUGCUGAAGCAGUGACCAGUUUUUCUGUUUCUUCUCUGGAGAUGCACAAUGAGGGACGUCUGCAGCGACUGAGAAAGAGUCUCACCACAUCCUGACAUGAGGAAAAAGACUUUAUUGAAGACUACAAUGAGAAAAACUAUCAGACAGCAGACGGCUGCAUUCAAGGUGAGCUCUGAACAUUUGAUCUGGAACAGGAAUUCAAUAACGGCAGCAUGAGCUUCAUUUCAGUCUGUAGCUGCUGAAUUCAUGGAUGAAUCAUCUGGCACUAGAGAGGAAGACCAUCAAACAUCCACGUCAGCUGAUGGAGGUCCAAGAGUCUCACCAAACAAACAACCUACAGAGUGAAGACCUCGAAUCUGAUUGGACGGCCUCCUAUUCAGCCACGUGUGAACA
Molecule: long non-coding RNA, 3610 nt
Organism: Amphiprion ocellaris (clown anemonefish)
Lineage: Eukaryota; Metazoa; Chordata; Actinopteri; Pomacentridae
Exons: 4
Source: RefSeq, a predicted model, not a curated record